UCUGGUGUCAGCCGCCGCGGUAAAACCAGCACCUCAAGUGGUCAGGAUGAUUAUUGGGCCUAAAGCAUCCGUAGCCUGCUUUGUUAGUUUUCGGUUAAAUCCAUAUGCUCAACGUAUGGGCUGCCGGGAAUACUGCAAAGCUAGGGAGUGGGAGAGGUAGACGGUACUCGGUAGGAAGGGGUAAAAUCCUUUGAUCUAUUGAUGACCACCUGUGGCGAAGGCGGUCUACCAGAACACGUCCGACGGUGAGGGAUGAAAGCUGGGGGAGCAAACCGGAUUAGAUACCCGGGUAGUCCCAGCUGUAAACUAUGCAAACUCGGUGAUGCAUUGGCUUGAUGCCAAUGCAGUGCCGCAGGGAAGCCGUUAAGUUUGCCGCCUGGGAAGUACGUACGCAAGUAUGAAACUUAAAGGAAUUGGCGGGGGAGCACCACAAGGGGUGAAGCCUGCGGUUCAAUUGGAGUCAACGCCAGAAAUCUUACCCGGAGAGACAGCAGAAUGAAGGUCAAGCUGAAGACUUUACCAGACAAGCU
Molecule: ribosomal RNA, 530 nt
Filed under: uncultured Nitrososphaerota archaeon
Lineage: Archaea; Thermoproteati; Nitrososphaerota
Description: bacterial SSU rRNA
Rfam family: Archaeal small subunit ribosomal RNA
Source: RNAcentral